CUCCUCGUAGCUCAGUUGGAUAGAGCAACUCCCUUCUAAGGAGUAGGCCGUAGGUUCGAAUCCUACCGAGGAGG
Molecule: transfer RNA, 74 nt
Filed under: Candidatus Kaiserbacteria bacterium
Lineage: Bacteria; Candidatus Kaiseribacteriota
Description: tRNA-Arg
Rfam family: tRNA
About the family: Transfer RNA (tRNA) molecules are approximately 80 nucleotides in length. Their secondary structure includes four short double-helical elements and three loops (D, anti-codon, and T loops).
Source: RNAcentral